This 236-nucleotide long non-coding RNA is filed under the name Manihot esculenta (cassava). Its description in RNAcentral is "long non-coding RNA (MESC_LNC008611)". Lineage: Eukaryota; Viridiplantae; Streptophyta; Magnoliopsida; Malpighiales; Euphorbiaceae. The record is from RNAcentral.
AAAUAUGCAUGAUUGGUAGGUUUGGAGGCGAAAUGGGCAAAGGGAGCCAAGUUUCUGCCCUUUGGCAGAAACCAGGUUCGGCAGCCGAAGGUACUUUCGGCCGCCGAACAUGGCUGGGGAGGCAGGCCUUUCGGCUGCCGAAGUUGCCCCCGAAAAGAGACUUUCGUCUCUGUCUGACACUUUCGGCCGCCGAAGGUGCCGCCGAACCUAGCUGAGUUUCGUCUCUGUCCAGGACU